AUAUUAAAAUAAUUAUUAAAUAUUUGUUUAAUUAAUCCUAAAAUUGAAGUAUAAUUAUGAAAAUGUUAACAAAAGAAUUACGUUUAGAUUUCAUAAGCAUAUCGCAAAGUGACCGAUUUAACCAGCGAUCGUACAGAGGUCCCACAUGUAGUCCUGAAGUAUAACCAAUCAGCAAACAACGCUACCUCAUCGUCGACAUUAUAUCAUGCUAGCGCAUCAUCAUAGAGUUCAGUACUGUUUAAUCUGUUGAGAUAAAUGUCAUGUUGGUAUGAUCACUAGUUCCUACAUGCGAAGUUGGUACGACUUCUAACGACGCCCUUUUGUUUUAGCUUCUGCCACGUGUUAAUUAUCUGAGAGUAUCCGGUGUGUUCAUAUGGCUGUACAUGGUGGUGAAAUACAGAAUAUAAAAACUGAAUCUGUGUGAAUCAAUUAAAUAUCGAACUCCAAAACCUAUUUAAUAACAGGGGUAGUGCAGUAACCGAAAUGGAAAUUAUUCUACAUGCAAAAGAAAUUUGAAGAGUUCUCGUUGCCAGAAAUUUAAGGUGAAUGGAUUUUGUGAUAUUCAGGCAAACUGACUCCCGAGUAAGAUAAAACUUCAUAAAUUCUUUCCUAUGGUGCUUUGGUUGACGCUAGACGGCCAAUUGUGUUAGUACGAACUAAUUUUUUGCGAAUAUAAUAUACUCAAUGUAACAUGUAUGCAUACUCAGGAAAUAGAAUUCAUUUAGAGACCAGCUAAGGAUGGGGACAAAGAUGAGGAUUGUGCGAAUUUUUAUGGCGACGUCAACUCAUUGAAUGAUAUAAUGGACAUAAGCUCAUUUGGCGCCAAAGAGAAAUGUAAAAUACUCUGAAGAUGUUUUGCUUUGCAUAGUCAUAUGGUAUGCGUCAUUGGAUUCCGUAAUUUCAAACUUGGAUUUGUGGAUUCCACACAUUGAAAACUACAAAAUUGCAGAUAAAAAAGACAAUGAUUUUUAGUUCCCUACAGUAAAGUUCAACCCCAUUUUUUUAAUAUAAUUGCCAGUUCUAAUGCAUAACUGACAGAGCAAGAUCGCUACUUUGGAGUAUGUUGCUAUAAACAAUAUAUUAAACUUUAAUAUUAUAUCCAAAAUAAAAUGUUUAACUCAGUAAUGAAAAAUAUAUAAAAUAGCACGAUAUUGAUCGAAGGGCUGCUCUGAAAAGAUAUAGGUUUGCUUUAUCUCUAAGAGUCCAGGAUUGCACGUUAUUAUUUUGUGAUAGACACUCUUGAGUUUGCAAUCCUUCAAUCAUCCGCCUAUAAUAAGUGUACAAUAACGAUUAUUCUAUUUCCUAAAAUAAUAUCAAUUACUCAUUCAUUUUUUAUUUUUAUAAUACACUACGCAUGCUAUUUGUAUAAUUAAUUUGUUAUUACUUCACGCAACCGCUUGCGCCCACCUUGCAGCGGUCGGCGAGAACUCUAACCCACACUUAAACCUAAUAAAUGAUGAUAUUCUCUUUUUAUUGAGCUAGUAUAUAAGUUAUAGUAGAUAAGUUAUAGCAGGCAUAUGCUGCACAUCGUAUAUGUGGUUAUCGUUAUCGUAUAUGUUGUGCCAUUAUUUUAAGCCUUUGCUCGCCUUACUCUCGUUUAUAAACAAAAGGUAACCUACAACUAAUACUGACGUUCCCAUUGCCAAAUACGCAUAACUGUAGUCAAAUAUACUUUGUAGCGAUACCGGCAUUUUUUACGAAUAUCUCAAUAAGGCCGAUCCCCGGUUAUAUAGUCAGGCCGGAAAAUAUUCGGACACUAGAACAACUUUGAUUUCUCUGCCCUGUACUUGAAAUAAAUACGGAAAAAACAACAAAAACAUUUUGCAGUAUACUGAACUAUAUUGCAUAGGUCUCGAAGUAAAAAACUUUUGAUUUAAAAGAAAGCGUUUUUUAAAUAUAAGAAGUGUUGAAAAAUGUGAAUUUUGGUGUUAUAAAAAUAUCUGAACAUUUUAUAAAUUAAUGUUAGAAAAACUAAUAUGGCAAUACUAUUUUUCAUAAAAGUCCAAUAUUUUGUCCGAUACCCCUUUUGUUCAAUAAUGUGUUAGUAGACGAUUUUCCAGAUGUUGAAGAUUAUUUUUUAUUAAUAAUCGAUACUGUAAUUUAUUUCUCUAUUAAAUGAACUUUCUUCAGU
Molecule: long non-coding RNA, 2131 nt
Organism: Bombus huntii
Lineage: Eukaryota; Metazoa; Arthropoda; Insecta; Hymenoptera; Apidae
Exons: 3
Source: RefSeq, a predicted model, not a curated record